AUCAUCUCUUUCUUUUGCACAAUAGCUUCUGAAUCGAGUUCAUCCAUGGAGGAUGCAGAUGAGAUAGGCAGCUGGAAGUUUAUGUUUGAUGAAUUUGAAUGAUAAUCUGAUCUAGGCUUUUUGGAUUUUUGAGGAUUAGACGAACGAUUCGACUGAUGAAAAUCAAGAUUUUGGUACUGUAAUCCAUUUGGUUUGAUCAGUUGACUUUUUGAUCUGCUUCUCUUGUUAGGAUUAGGCUUAUUAUUAGCACCUGAAAAACUGGAUUGAAUGAGAUAUUCAUCAGCCGAAGCUCGUGAUACUAUUUUGUUGGUGUAAUGUUUUACAAUGGAUGCAGAUGUGCCAUCUAAUUUGAUGAGGGCGCUUGAAUUUGGAUUCCAUAAGUCUUUGCAAUCAGAGAAAAGCAUGGAAAUCUUAGCCAAUCAACUGAUGUUUUGUUUUGCUGUUGGUUGCUGAUAACAAGCAAUCAAUGGAUUCUAGAGAGCCUGGAUUCGAAAUUCCAGCCUUGAUUUCUUGAAGACCACCAAAAACUUGUCGAUUUUCCAGGCCAAUUCAACACCAAGGCAAUUUUGUUGAUUAAUCAUUGUAGAAUUAGGCAUAUUAACUUCGGCAGACAUUUGGCCAUUAAUGGCGACUCCACAACUUGUCGAUUUUGGAGUCAUUGCCGACAUAUUCCAGUUCGAAGAACCCAACUGCUGAAUCAUCUCAAAUUUUUGGAGCGAUAGAAUUGGACUUAAAAAAUAGUUUGAAAGACAACCAUUCGACUUGGAAAUUAUCAGAACGGUGAAUUGUUGUGAAU
Molecule: long non-coding RNA, 796 nt
Filed under: Olea europaea subsp. europaea
Lineage: Eukaryota; Viridiplantae; Streptophyta; Magnoliopsida; Lamiales; Oleaceae
Source: RNAcentral